This 272-nucleotide ribosomal RNA is filed under the name uncultured bacterium. RNAcentral's name for it is "partial 16S ribosomal RNA". It matches the Rfam family "Bacterial small subunit ribosomal RNA", at positions 15 to 282 of the family's 1533-position model. The record is from RNAcentral.
GAUCCUGGCUCAGGAUGAACGCUAGCGACAGGCUUAACACAUGCAAGUCGAGGGGCAGCACGGGGUAGCAAUACCCCCGGUGGCGACCGGCGCACGGGUGAGUAACACGUGUGCAACCAACCCCGUACCGGGAGAUAACCCGCGGAAACGUGGACGUAACACCCAUAACACUUCCCCGCAUGGGGGAGAGUUUAAAAUCACGAUGGUACGGGACGGGCACGCGGCGACAUUAGGUAGUUGGUCGGGGUAACGGCCCACCAAGCCGACGAUGU